This 500-nucleotide ribosomal RNA is filed under the name uncultured bacterium. Its description in RNAcentral is "partial 16S ribosomal RNA". It matches the Rfam family "Bacterial small subunit ribosomal RNA", at positions 29 to 523 of the family's 1533-position model. The record is from RNAcentral.
AUUGAACGCUGGCGGCGUGCUUAACACAUGCAAGUCGAUCGGUAACGCGGGGGCAACCCUGGCGACGAGAGGCGGACGGGUGAGGAACGCUUGGGAAUCUGCCUAUCAGCGGGGGACAACCCGGGGAAACUCGGGCUAAUACCGCAUACGCUCUACGGAGGAAAGCCGGGGACCGCAAGGCCUGGCACUGAUAGAUGAGCCCAAGUCGGAUUAGCUAGUUGGCGGGGUAAGGGCCCACCAAGGCGACGAUCCGUAGCUGGUCUGAGAGGACGUUCGGCGACACUGGGACUGGGAAACGGCCCAGACUCCUACGGGAGGCAGCAGUGGGGAAUAUUGGACAAUGGGGGAAACCCUGAUCCAGCGACGCCGCGUGGGUGAAGAAGGCCUGCGGGUUGUAAAGCCCUUUCGGUAGGGACGAAAGCUCUCGACCUAACACGUCGGGAGGUUGACUUAACCUACAAAAGAAGCACCGGCUAACUCUGUGCCAGCAGCCGCCGUAA